Molecule: long non-coding RNA, 3354 nt
Filed under: Mytilus galloprovincialis (Mediterranean mussel)
Lineage: Eukaryota; Metazoa; Mollusca; Bivalvia; Mytilida; Mytilidae
Source: RNAcentral
GUGACUUUGUAGAUAUUUUGCUUCCGCUAGAACCCGCCAGAUUUCAAAUGGUGUAAAUUAAAGGCGGUAUUUUAUGGAAUUCUGUAAUAAUGCCACUGUUAGGAAAGAAACCGUUCGUUUGUUCGAAACCCCUAUCAGAUAUUCAACCAGAUGAGACCGUAUAUAUAAUCCCACACACCAAAGAACAGUUCAAAUCUAAGCAGUAUCCUUGCUAAACAAUCACCUGUCCAAUUCAAUAUGGCGGCGUACAUAAAUCGCGAAGUUUGCAUAAAGACGUAUUGAUGUUCAUAUUCAAACACAAUGAAAAAUGAUAUUAAAACUAUCAAAAUCUUAACCCAUUCUAUCAUUUAGAAUUCAGAUAUGUUGUGUUUUGCUAGUUGUUGUCGUGUUGUUUACAUGUUUUGGCGCAAAACACAUUCAAGCAUUUUCAUACUUUCUGUUUCACCUCUGUAUUGUGUUAUUAUAUAAUAUCUAACUGUUUAGAGGGGAUAAUAUAUUUUUUCCUUGUCAAACAGUAUUGAUAUAUUCUAAGCAGAAUUGGCCACAGUACAUGCAGGGCUCACAUGAGUCUGUUGAAUCUACAAGUCGUGGAUCAAUACACCUUAUCGCUAUUUGUCGCCAUACUGAUAUCACACAGGUCCCGCAAAAUUUUGAAUCUAAAACAAAUGUCUGACGCCACAAUGGAAAAGUGAUUGUUGUUGAUGUCAAAAGUUAAAGCGGCCGGGAUAUUAGCGAUAAGGUGUAUAACUAUUUGCCUGCCAUUACUAGAUGAAUCAGGGUCCGUCCGCCCUGAUUCUGGUUCGCCCUAGUUUCUGUUCGCCCUAAUACCUGUUUCCCCGAGUCCGUUCGCCCUGAUUUUAUUUUUUACGGUAUAGUGUUGCGUUGUGUGUAUAUAAUUGAAUGUGUUGAAGUCAGUCUACAAUUUCGCCGAUUGUUUACGAUGUUUCAUGUUAACUUGUCUAAAGCUAGCUGCUAUACUAGACUAAGGUUAUCAGUUUCAGUACAUUUCAGGACUACAAGAUAUUGUGACUUCAAGGUAUUUAGGACUAAGUUUGUAUCUGUAUUUACGUUACUAGGAAAUAUAAGUUUCUGUGAAUUUCAGCACUGCAUUGUAUUUUUAAAUGUAAAACAACUGAAGACUAAAUUAUUUGUAUGUAAUUAUUCUAAUUUGAAUAUGUUGAAGUUUACAUCACCGAAUAUUUAUUUAUGAUGUAUAUUCUGUGGUACUGCUAUCAUAGAAAAUAAGUUUCUCGGAAUUUCAGCACUACAUUGUAUUUUAAAUGUAAAAACUGAAGACUAAGUUGUUGUCUUGCUGCUACGAGGAUAAGUUUCUGUGAAUUCAAAGACUACAAAGUAUUUGACAUAAAACAAGACAAUUUAUAUAACAAUUAGUGAUAUCAAAGGUUUCAAAUGACACCUAAUGGUAAAUCGGCAAUCAAAAUUCAAUCAACACAUGCAACAGUAAUUAAAAGUAAUUAUAAAAUAAAGUGUAACAAUGCAGCCAAGAAUUUUAUUUAAUUAAUAUAAAUUUGGCAAUAUUCUGUAUUAAACUUUCAAUAGAUAUAUAUAUACAUAAAUUUUAAUAUAUAUCAUUAUAUUUCCUUCAUUGAUGUAACAUAUACAUAUCAUAAAUGAAUAUAGGGCGAACGGACUAUCAGGGCGAACAAACUCAGUGCGAACGAACCUAGGGCGAACAUGUAAUCAGGGCGAACGAUCCCGAUACCUUACUAGAUAGCAUUGUUCUGAUGAUCAGAAUUAGUCAGAAGUGAGUUGGUUGGGCCUUGCAAUAUCAGUAGGGGAUCUGAUCCCGGAACCUGUUUAUUGUUUUAAUAGAGAGAAUCUCAUAUCCCCCUAAGGCCUUCUUGCCGUAAUAGGGCAUGUAAUUUCCUGUGUCCCCCCGGAAUUUGUUUCCGGUUUUCACGCUAAUUAUUUGACUUUCACUUGCCAUACUUAAAAAUUAUCUGCCAAUCCUUCAUCAGUCUUUGACCCAAAUGAGACCCACUCAAUAAUAACUUUAUAACCAGUAGCCAGUUGGUUGUUGUCAACUGAUAGUAAAAAUAAUCCAUUGAUAAUUUCGAAACGAUUAUCCAACACUAAAAAUAAUAGAAAGUAUCUGAUGCCACAAAGUGAUUGUUGUACAGCAUCAAUAGUUCAAGAGAUUAAAUCUGGUUGAGCCGCACAGAUUUUCAAAAUGGAAUAAGGUCUAUAAACAUGUAGCUGUGGAAUCAUAGCUAAUAUACAUGUCCUUAUGAUAAUUUUUGACAAAUUCUGCAAAUUUUCAUAAAUACUACAAGGACCUGGGAGCUACUGUUGCACAGCUUAGAUCAAUACAGCUAAAAAUAUUCUAUAAUUGACCCAAUAUUGGAACAGUCAGUUCAAAACACUUGUAUAAUGAUUAUAAUUUUGUUAUCUAACCAAUAAACUUGUUGUGAAGAAGAUGCAGGAAUCCAUAUUUUAAAUUAUCUUUUCUCAGUCAUGUCGCAUUUAAUUUGUCUACAUUGAUUAAAUUUCUUAUUUCAUGUUCAGUUACAUUAAAUUAAAUUUUGCCAAUUCAGUUCAUUUUAUCUGGGCUAAUGUAUAUAAAUCUACAAAAAAUGUACAUGUAGAUAAACAUCAAAUAGAUAUUUUAGCAAUUCUUAGUCUUUAAUCAUGUGCUAACAGCUUGCUGAUCAUGAUCAUUGAUCAAUGGAAAUAAAUUGGUCACAUGAAUUUAACCUUUUGAAUACAUUUUUGCGCCUGUCCCAAGUCAGGAGCCUCUGGCCUGUGUUAGUCUUGUAUUAUUUUUAAUUUUAGUUUCUUUGUUACAAUUUGGGUUUAGUAUGGCGUUCAUUAUCACUGAACUAGUAUAUAUUUGUUUAGGGGCCAGCUGAAAGAUGCCUCCGGGUGCGGAAAUUUCUUGCUGCAUUUAAGACCUGUUGGUGACCUUCUGCUGUUGUCUGCUCUAUGGUCGGGUUGUUGUCUCUUUGACACAUUUCCCAUUUCCAUUCUCAAUUUUAUAUCUAUAUAUAUAUAAGAAAUGCAGAUUGUUUUUAAAUGUGCAUUUGUUUGUAACUUACAUUCAUAAACAUUGUGAAUGUCUUUUAUUACAGUCAAAAGUAAUUUGUGUUUUGUCAUCUAUGUCUGAUGUCUUCUGAAAAUUUCCAACAUUUAUUAGUUGUGUUGUUUUUAAGGCUGUGAAUCAUUUGUUCAAUUUUAAAUUUUAUCUUAUCAUAUAGCUUAAAGCUCAGUAAACAAGAAAAUACACUCCUUAACAGAUUUCAGAGAAUAUGAGAAGCGAUUAUCAUGGUAUAAACAGCCAAUCUGGACUUGCAGAUGUACCGGUCACGUAAAUCUAAACUCACCAAGCAGCUUGGG